GCGAAUUCCACCUGAGCCUUGCCGGCAAACCCAACCUGCCCUGCGCCUCAGAUUUCCAGAACCUCCGGCCCGGCAGAGGGAAGCUCCCGUCCAUCGCCCCCCAGUUCUCCCCGUCUGGACCUCACCCGACCCUUCGCCCCAACUCUUCGGAGUCCACGAGGAACAAGCAAAGCAGCCGCUCUUCUAGGAGGUGAGGACAGGCCAUUUCCUCAAGAGCCCCUGGCCCGAAGACAGCCACAAUCCGCUGGCUGUAACGGGAACCCUGGCAUCUUCCUGGCACCCCGCGAGACAAAGCGGGAGAUUAGCACCGAAUGCUGAUAUUCUACACCCCUUGGCUCAGAGGCUGUGGGUUUUUUUUCAGACUCGGUCGAAAGACGGGAUCCUUUUCUGGAACCAGAGAGGUCUGAAAUGCUUGUCAGCUGUCAUGCACACACCCACAGCCUUUGUGUCCUG
Non-coding RNA from Notechis scutatus (mainland tiger snake), 453 nucleotides. NCBI's taxonomy places the organism in Eukaryota, Metazoa, Chordata, Lepidosauria, Squamata, Elapidae. The record is from RefSeq and is a predicted model, not a curated record.